UAAAAAUAAAACGAUGAUCGGUCAUCUUUUGAGAAAGCUGAUCGAAAUUCGCCUAUUUUUUAUUGAUUUGAAAAGCUGAUUUUCAGUGUUUCCCAAUUGAUGAUAUGUCAUUUAUUCAAAAAGCUGAAAAGUGUUUUCAGAUUUAGCAAUAAAUUUUAUUGAAUCUCUGUGGAAAACUUUUUGCUCAAGUGUAAAGAGUAUUCUGAGGGUAAAGUCUUGAAAAUUUUCGCGAUUUUCCACGAGAAAAUCGAUUGAAAAGUUUUCAUCAUUUCAUCUAUUUGAAACACUGAAAAAAACGUCGCUUGUUUCACAACAUUCAAACCAUCUUUUAAAACACUGAAAGUUACCAAUAUUUUCAGACGGGUUUUUCUUGGGGAAAAAUUGGUGGGACUGAGCAGGUUACAUAUUUUUUGUCUUUGCUCUGUCCCAAAAAGUAGGUUUAGCAUGAAUUCCUAAUUGAAAUUGCACUAUUUUGUGUGUAAAAUAGGUAAUAAUUCUGAUGCAACUUCAUUUAGUAAAACAAUGAAAAACAUCGCUUAGAAACAUCGAAAGUUGACAUGUCGCAAACACGUUGAGGAGCUUGUGUGAGACAUAACCUCAAUGGAGGUGUCAAAGUGCGUUGUGCUUGUGCGUUGUGCGGUGGUGUUUUCUGCAUUUUUUGCAGAAUAAUCGACAGGGGAACCAACACUUUCUUUGUGGGUGCCCUAGACGUGUUGAUUUGAAAGUUUUCAGUGUUAAAAGUGACGGUAAAGUGAAAUUUGCUUUGUGAAAUUGGCUGCUGCGGCUGUUGGCAAAGGACAUUGCUCCUAGGUGUGGUGGCCUCAGCCCCCUGAUUCACAUCACCUUGAUCUUCAAGUAGAACUGACGCUUCCGGAAGGGACAUUAUUUGUGUCCUGGCUUUAAGUUUAUCUUCAAGAAUGUUCGACCUCUGGUUAGUAUGUUUUGAUCUGGUUACUGGGGCCAAAGAGCAUCAGAAACGGCCAAAGUGCGAGUGAAGAUCUAGUUCUGAUGCUAGCCAAGAAGACAAGAAUUACGACCAAGAAUACAAUGCUGAUAAGCUGCUCCAAGAGAGAGAGAGAGAGAGAGAGAAGAGGAAUGAUAGAUCUGCAUCCCCAUCGAAGAUCGUCAAGCAGAACUUAAGAAGCUCUCAUGUCUAAUCUCGGAAAGAGACAAGCUGACGCAGGAUGAUGGUUCGGCUGGAGUUCUUCUCAAAUAGUUCUGCAAUUGUCCAAAUGUGACUCAGGAAAAAUUUCUGGUUAACGAAAUUUUCUAAAAUUCAGAUUCCCCACCAGAACACACAGAAAAUAUGCUUUUGCUAAUGCAUUAUAAAAUUACUAUUGGUCAGUCGGGUAGUAGAACAUAUAGUAUUGUCCAGUCGGGCGGAACUGUACUGGCUACGAUCGCAACGAUGGCAACAGAAGACACUGUGCUUGUAAAUUUUUCACAUCGAGAGGAAAAGCGUCUCGGACUAGUCAAAGGGGAAAACGGCAAUUUUCCUGGAUACGGGCAUUUCAUACAAAGUGGUAAGAAACUAUUGCAUUUUCAUCAUUAAUAGCUUUCUAUCAAUGGCCGCCAUUAUAUUUUUUUACUGCUCGAAAUCAAAGGAAAGCAGUAAAGGCGGCUUUGAGAUAGAGUAAUUUAUAAUCAUUUUAUUAUAAACUCGCAGCUUUGUCUCAAUAUCAAUCAUUAGGGGUUGGGGAAGUAUAUCCGUAUCGAUGUUUGUAAGAAAAUUACUUCAAAAUGCCCCAAAAUAAUUCUUCAAGCAGCCUUCCGGAAUAACUUAACCUCACUUUUCUGUAUUGCGCAGUC
Molecule: long non-coding RNA, 1809 nt
Organism: Phlebotomus papatasi
Lineage: Eukaryota; Metazoa; Arthropoda; Insecta; Diptera; Psychodidae
Exons: 3
Source: RefSeq, a predicted model, not a curated record